UGACUCUCUUGUCUGUCUGGUUCU
This 24-nucleotide non-coding RNA is filed under the name Arabidopsis thaliana (thale cress). The record is from RNAcentral. Lineage: Eukaryota; Viridiplantae; Streptophyta; Magnoliopsida; Brassicales; Brassicaceae.